This 490-nucleotide ribosomal RNA is filed under the name uncultured bacterium. Its description in RNAcentral is "bacterial SSU rRNA". It matches the Rfam family "Bacterial small subunit ribosomal RNA", at positions 28 to 514 of the family's 1533-position model. The record is from RNAcentral.
GAUGAACGCUAGCGGCAGGCUUAAUACAUGCAAGUCGAGGGGCAGCAGGGAUAGCAAUAUUCGCUGGCGACCGGCGCACGGGUGCGUAACACGUAUACAAUCUGCCUUUUACAGGGGGAUAGCCUUUCGAAAGAGAGAUUAAUACCCCAUAAUAGUUGGCCGGGCAUCUGGUUGAUUUGAAAGCUCCGGCGGUAAGAGAUGAGUAUGCGCCUGAUUAGCUAGUAGGUGAGGUAACGGCUCACCUAGGCUACGAUCAGUAGGGGAUCUGAGAGGACUAACCCCCACACGGAUACUGAGACACGGAUCCGACUCCUACGGGAGGCAGCAGUAAGGAAUAUUGGACAAUGCCCGCAAGGGUGAUCCAGCCAUGCCGCGUGCAGGAAGAAGGCCCUAUGGGUCGUAAACUGCCUUUACACCGGAGAAAACCUCCCCUCGUGAGGGGAGCUGAUAGUAUGGUGAGAAUAAGCAUCGGCUAACUUCGUGCCAGCAG